GUGUCAGCCGCCGCGGUAAUACGAAGGGUGCAAGCGUUACUCGGAAUUACUGGGCGUAAAGCGUGCGUAGGUGGUUCGUUAAGUCUGAUGUGAAAGCCCUGGGCUCAACCUGGGAAUGGCAUUGGAUACUGGCGACCUAGAGUGCGGUAGAGGGUGGCGGAAUUCCCGGUGUAGCAGUGAAAUGCGUAGAUAUCGGGAGGAACAUCCGUGGCGAAGGCGGCCACCUGGACCAGCACUGACACUGAGGCACGAAAGCGUGGGGAGCAAACAGGAUUAGAAACCCGCGUAGUCC
This 292-nucleotide ribosomal RNA is filed under the name uncultured bacterium. RNAcentral's name for it is "partial 16S ribosomal RNA". It matches the Rfam family "Bacterial small subunit ribosomal RNA", at positions 505 to 796 of the family's 1533-position model. The record is from RNAcentral.